This 315-nucleotide ribosomal RNA is filed under the name Triticum aestivum (bread wheat). RNAcentral's name for it is "partial small subunit ribosomal RNA". Lineage: Eukaryota; Viridiplantae; Streptophyta; Magnoliopsida; Poales; Poaceae. The record is from RNAcentral.
CUGAAGUUCACAUAUGUGCUAGCUGGCUGGGAAGGAUCAACACAUGAUGCUAACAUUCUAACUAACAGCAUGAGUAGACCUGAUGUCAUCAAUAUCCCUGAUGGCAAGUUCUACCUAGGAGAUGCCGGUUAUGCAUGUUUAGGUGUUUUUCCACCCUUCAGGAAAGUCAGGUACCAUUUGAACAAGUUUGCUGGCAAGAACUAUCCUAGGACUCCAUGUGAGCUGUUUAAUCUCAGACACUCCAGCCUUAGAGUUACGAUUGAGAGGGCAUUUGGAGCUCUGAUGAAUAGGUUUAAGAUCCUAUUUUUAUCAUAA